AUUGAACGCUGGCGGCAGGCUUAACACAUGCAAGUCGAGCGGGGGGACGUAGCUUGCUACCGGACCUAGCGGCGGACGGGCGAGUAAUGCCUAGGAAUCUGCCUAUUAGUGGGGGACAACACCGCGACAGGGAUGCUAAUACCGCAUACGCCCUACGGGAGAAAGCAGGGGAUCUUCGGACCUUGCGCGAAUAUGUGAUCCUAAGUCGGCUUAGCUAGUUGGGGGGGUAAAGGCCUACCAAGGCGACGAUCUGUAGCGGACCUGAGAGGAUGAUCCGCCACACUGGGACUGAGACACGGCCCAGACUCCUACGGGAGGCAGCAGUGGGGAAUAUUGGACAAUGGGGGGAACCCUGAUCCAGCCAUGCCGCGUGUGUGAAGAAGGCCUUAUGGUUGUAAAGCACUUUAAGCGAGGAGGAGGCUACUUUAGUUAAUACCUAGAGAUAGUGGACGUUACUCGCAGAAUAAGCACCGGCUAACUCUGUGCCAGCCGCCGCCGUAA
This 501-nucleotide ribosomal RNA is filed under the name uncultured bacterium. RNAcentral's name for it is "partial 16S ribosomal RNA". It matches the Rfam family "Bacterial small subunit ribosomal RNA", at positions 30 to 523 of the family's 1533-position model. The record is from RNAcentral.